Molecule: ribosomal RNA, 1772 nt
Filed under: bacterium
Lineage: Bacteria
Description: partial 23S ribosomal RNA
Rfam family: Bacterial large subunit ribosomal RNA
Source: RNAcentral
GAGCUGUUGGGAACGACCCGAAGCCAAGCGAGCUUGCCAUGAGCAGGGUGAAGGGGGACGAAAGUCCUCCGGAGGCCCGAACCCGUAGAUCGUUCAAUUUCUUGGGAUGACUUGUGGUAAGAAGUGAAAAGCUAAUCGAGCUUGGGAAUAGCUGGUUCUCUCCGAAAUAGCUUUCGGGCUAGCGUCAUCUAUGUCUUCUGGAGGUAGAGCUCUGGAAAGAAUAAUCUUGGAGCAAUCCAGAUAUCCUUACCAAACUCCGAAUGCCGGAAGAAUGAGGAUGGCAGUCAGAACAUGGGGGCUAAGCUCCGUGCUCAAAAGGGAAACAGCCCAGAGCUUCAUCUAAGGUCCCUAAAUCAGACUCAGUGUACUUAAGGAGGUGGAAUUCCAAAGAUAGCGAGGAGGUUCGCUCAGAAGCAGCUAUCCUUUAAAAAGUGCGUAACAGCUUACUCGCUCAGGAGUUCCGCGCCGAAGAUUCAUCGGGACUAAAGUCUGAUACCGAAGAUAAGAGCCUCGCUUUCGAGCGGGGCGGUAGGAGAGCGUCUCUAUCGCAGCGAAGCCUGAACGCGAGUGAAGGUGGAGCGAUGGGGAGUGAGAAUGUUGGCAUGAGUAACCGCAAUGACAGUGAAAGCCUGUCACACCGUAAACCCAAGGAUUCCUUGGCAAUGAUAAUCAACCAAGGGUGAGGCGGGCCUUAGUGUUGGACCGAAGGGUUCUACAUGAUGGACAGCAGGUUAAUAUUCCUGCCCUUCCACGUUUUUCUGAAGAGCAACGCAGGAUAGUAUUCUCGGCGAGUUAUUGGAUUCUCGUCUUCUGUCUGAGGAGCGAUCCCAAGACAGAGGGGAAACCAGUCUCUGACGGGUGAACCGAGGUGAGCAUCCUGCCCAGAAACGCUCGUAGGGAUAAAAACGUGGAAACCGUACCGCAAACCAACACAGGUGGGUUGGCGCGAAUAUGCUAAGGUGAACGAGCGAAACUUCUUUAAGGAACUAGGCAAAAAAGUGGUCGUAACUUCGGGAUAUGACCUACCCUGCAGCAAUGCGGGGUCGCAGCGACUGUUUCUCUAGCGACUGUUUACCAAAAACACAGGUCUCUGCUAAACUCGUAAGAGGAUGUAUAGGGGCUGACGCCUGACCAGUGCUGGUGUGUUAACGAUGCCAGUUGCAGGAUUUAUUCUGCAGCCGAGUGUCCGAAGCCCCAGUGAACGUCCGCGGUAACUAUAACCGUGUUAAAGUAGCGUAAUCUCUUGCCGGGUAAGUUCCGGCCCGCAUGAAAGGCGUAACGACUGGAGAACUGUCUCAAAGAAGCGCUCGGUGAAAAUGCAAUACCGGUAAAGAUGCCGGUUACCUGCGGCUAGACGGAAAGACCCCGGAAGCUUUACUGUAGCUUCCUAUUGUCUUACCAUCUUUGAUACGUAGCGUAGCGGGGAGGCUUUGAAGUCGCGUUCUCGGAUGCGAUGGAGCCGUCAAUGAAACACCCGUUUUUAAAGAGGGUAAGACUAAUCCGCCUGAGGCGGAAACAGUGGGUGGUAGGCAGUUUUAGUGGGGCGCUAGCCUCCUAAAGAGUAGCGGAGGCGUUUUAAAGGUAGGCUAUCCGCCAAUGGAAACGGUGGAGGUCGUGCAAAGGCACAAGCCUGCUUUACUGCGAGACGGAUAUGUCGAGCAGUUGGGAAACCAGAACUUAGUGAACCGAUGCGUUGUCACAGAAAACGCAAAGAUCAUCAGACAAAAGUUACUCCGGGGAUAACAGGCUGGUAGAGCCCGCGAGUCCAUAUC